UAACUUGAGAAUUAUAUUUCACAUCCAAGCAUAAUAUUCAUAUAUUAACAAAAAACUACAUGAUUUCAUUAGUUUAUAUGUCAUAAUCCAUAUGUUUUAAAAUUUUACAACAUCAAAAAGUUACAACAUUGUAAUGACAUUCUAUCAUGUCAUUAUAAAAUCUAAAUAUUACAAACACAAAAAAAUACAAAAUGAAAAAUACAAAAUAAAUUCACUACUUUAUCUUAUGGUCGGGAGUUUGAUCCCUAUUCAUGAGAAUAGAGCACAUUUUGUGACUAUUCAUCCCACAAUAGCAUAAUACUUUAUUUUAAUUUACAUUUGUCAUUAUACGUAAAUUUGUCAAUUAACUUAAUGUGAUUGAAUUUUGCCACUAAAAUUUGAAUUUUAUUGAAUAUUUCCACCAACUUUAAUUUUUUUUAACUAAAAUUUACCACCCAAUAUUGAUUUUGAUGAUUUGAAAACAAAUUUUAACAAAAAAAUAUUCUUUCAAAUAUUUUAUUUUAAAAGUUAACCAUAACUUAAUUUAUAAAAUAUAAUACAUUAAAUUAGAAUUUUUAUUUAUUAAAUUAAAGGACUUGAAAAUUAAAUAUAAGUUAACUUUAAUUUUUAAAAUUAUAUUAAUUAAUUUAUUAUUUUAACUAUUAAAAUAAAAUAUUAAAAAUAUGUUUUAAUUAAAAAAUAUCUUUAAAUAAAUUUGAAUAAAAAAAUUCAAGUAAAGAUAAAACUAGGCAAAAUUUAAUAGAGAGUUCAAAAAAUAAUAGGCAAAAGUUGCUGUUGAAGGCUCCGCACAAGUUCCUAAAGUCUCUAAAUGUUCUUCUCUUGUGAUAAAAUGAUCUGCAACAAGUGAAAGAUUACAAGUUAAUCACAGGUAGAAUAGCCGACAAAAGGUAUGUAUCAUGCCAAAAACAUAACUUCAUUAUAAUUUGCCUUUUCCCAAUAGCAUAUUGUAAAUGAAAUAGCAAGAAUUUUGUCAAGACUAUCCAACAAAUGCAACAAUAGAUAAAAGCAAGAAUUUUACUAACAGAAAUAGAAUGUGCUAUGUCACAUUUAUGGCUUUUCCUCAAUAAAAAGCUUCCCACGACAAUUAUGUCGAGCUUUGAAGGUGAAACCUAUGUAAAAUGCCAGGUUAAUCACUAAACAUAACAAGUUCUCUUGAGGAAAAGAUGUAAACCUCAUCAGAAAAACAAGAAGCAUCAGCAACUAAUUUGGUGACAAGAAUAGAGAGCAUCAUAAAAAAGUUUUGGUCUUAUUAUAUUAAAUAAAUAAAUGAACCAUUGAUUUUAAGUUUUAACAUUUUAAUUAAAAUCAUGUUUGAUUUUUAUAUAUAAUUUUUUAUAGUUGUAGCAAUACUAAAAAAAACAAAUAAGAUCAAAAUUUAACUAUUAAAAUAAUAUCAUUUACAAUCUAUAAGAACUAUAUAUGAAAACUGCAAAAUAGGGUAUAUCUCUAUUUGAUUUAAAAUCAUUUCAUGAACUAGUUUCUAUGCUUAGGAGAAGAUCACUUAAUCUUGAUUGUGCUUAAAUAUGGUACAAGGCAUUUCAACAAUUUGAUUUAGAUAGUAGACAACAAUGGGGCUUAAACUUGCAGCUGUUCUAGUACAAAUGCAGCUUAGCUUAUGCUAUGUAGAUUAUUAAAUGGGCUAUACAGGUAGGGUUGAGUGGCAAGAGCAAGGACUUGAGAGGUAUACAUGCUUGUACAGAUAGUAAAAAAGUGACAUUUGGUCCAUCUAUUUUUUAGCGUUAAUGAUGAAAGUAAUAGAAGGGCAUUUGACAGGGAAGAGCUAACUUCAUCAAAGCUCUAAUAGUUAUUAGGAGUAACUAAUAUUUGAAUUUUGUUUCAACUGUUUGAACAAAAAAAUAAACUGGCUUCCUUCAUGAAUCAAGCCCUCUUAUUGCGUGUUUGUCAUCAUUUUGUACUGAUUAAAGAAAAUAUUUUAGCUACAAAUCAUAAGUUACAUAGAGUAACUUAACACUGCCAUCAUAAUAAUCUAGCACAAGAUAGUGUUAGGUCUUCAAGAAUUCAAGUCCUCAUAAUUUGCAGAUCCCACAACUGUUCAGAGGGCCAUUUUUUCAGGCAGGAGGGGGCAACAAGGAGCCUAUUUCAGACUAUCAGAUUUAUCAAUCAUGAUUUUUCAUCACUUCAUACCAAAUAAUGAUUCAAUUGAAUUUAGUAUAAAGUAAUAAAGAAACUGCUUGAAUAUAUUAUGAAGCUACCUAUAUGUUCAAAAGGUUCAAUAUGCCAAAUUAAUGAAGCAACAAUAUGGGAAAUUAUUAAAUUUACUCUGACAUACCUUACAGACUCACUUGGAAGAUCCAGUACAAUGACCCCUGUGCUUAUCUAUAAUAUAUCUCUAUGUCUACGAAGCAUUAACAACUUGCUUUUCUAUGAAAGGAGGAGCUAAAAUCUUAAACACAUACUAUUUUGACAUUUAUUUAAUACUAUACAUAUACAAAUAACACAAAGCAGAAACCAGGACAUCCUUCGUGAAAGAAGAGAGGACAAAGUGUCUCUUAUUAUUGGUUCUUUUUUUUUAAUUUCAGGAAAAUAUGGAUUAGAGGUGGUCCAAUACUGUUAUAAAUAACUAUUCUGGUCUUAUUCAGACAUAGCACUAAACCAUAAGUCAACUUAAAUCACACAAGUAUUAAUUUUUGUGCAUUUUCUUAACCCAAUCGAUAGAAAAUGACUAAUUGAGAAACAUACCAGGUGCACAAAGAAAUCUUCAACAACAGCUGUAUUACUCUUUAAUAGAAAUGCUUCGUUCCUGUUUUAAAAACAAAAUCCACAUAAUUCUGCAUGUGCGGUUGAAGAUGAUAAGGAUCCUGAUGAAAUUUUUAUCCACUCUUCACAACCGAAGCUUGAGGAUGAAUUUGUGGAAAUGGGAAAUCGAUGGAAAUUAUAGAAUUCAACCGGAGCUUGAGGAGGGAGAAUCGAUGGAAUUCGCCGAUAGGUAAGAAUUUGGUGGCUUUAGUUUGAAAUUGGAUCUAGGUUCGGGCUUGGAUAGGGUUGGUGAGGAUGGUUCAGAGGUGAAAAAGAUUGAGAAGGUUGGAAGGAAAUAGGAAUCAGAAGUGAAAAAAAAGAAGAAGAAUAAGAAGAAGAAGAAUGAAGAAAAAUGGUCAGAUGUGAAAAAGAAGUGAAGGGCAAAGUCGAUAAAAUUUCAGGCUGAAUAUGUAUUCAAUGAGGAGGCUGCUAAAUUAUAAAC
Molecule: long non-coding RNA, 3199 nt
Filed under: Gossypium barbadense (sea-island cotton)
Lineage: Eukaryota; Viridiplantae; Streptophyta; Magnoliopsida; Malvales; Malvaceae
Description: long non-coding RNA (GBAR_LNC010512)
Source: RNAcentral